This 1572-nucleotide ribosomal RNA is filed under the name Triticum aestivum (bread wheat). RNAcentral's name for it is "partial small subunit ribosomal RNA". The record is from RNAcentral. Lineage: Eukaryota; Viridiplantae; Streptophyta; Magnoliopsida; Poales; Poaceae.
GUCGUCGUCGUCCGGCCCAUGCCCUACCCCUUCUCCUUCUUCCCCCUCCUCCUCCUCGUCCGCCGCCUCUCCUAGGGUCGCUGGAUGAGGGCCUCCAGGACCGCGCCCACGGCAUGGCCAGGGAGACGGCGAAGUUCACGCACAGGUGCCGGACCGACCGCGAGACAAGGCUGGGGCGGCAGGCGUCCUCCAGCGGCGUCUGCGAGAGGCCGAAGAAGACGAUGGGCGUAUAGCUGCCACAGUCGCCGGCCGCGCUGCUCCCGGAGUCGAAGGAGUUGGACAGGCCCUCCCCGGCCGGCGACCAGCUGGGGAGAGAGGGAAAGAACCCCUUGAUGUUCUUACAGUAAGAGGAUUUGACGACGCGGCCGUAAGAGGAGACGGUUCCGACCUUAUCUUGGUACGUUCAAGGCCUUAUGAAGCACACGUUGGGACGCUGGCUGUUCUAGACCCGUCACGACGGACGCGAACUACACGGUCUCGGAGUUCAAGGGAUGUAGAUGUACCACCCGGUUGUACAUUGGACCUCGACGUUCAAGACAAACACAAAGUUGGGGCGGCAAGGGAGAGCGAAGCACCAAAAGCGCAAGCAACUCUCUCCGGUGUGGUAUCACCGUCAUUCCCAGAUGAGUAGGCUAUGGCCUCUUACCUAAAGGUGUCUCUCGCCACCGGUAUAGCACCGUAUACCACCACUUGUUGAUAUACUGAAAAAGUUAAUAUGGGACAUAAAGUCUCGGAUUCUAGUACCUCUACCGUCCAAGAUAGGGUCCCCCUCUGAUUAUGGGAGUUAUAAAUGUCACCUGUGCCUGCCCCUAUGAACCUCCUCUUAAGGUUACGGUGGGCUUCGAGUAAAAAGAAAGUAACCCGUGAGAGUCCCUGUGAAUAUGCCAUACCCGUAUCUCGUACAAUUACUAACGCACGAUAGCCAAACCCGAGAGUUCCUAAUAGGGUCACCUUUCACCUGGAAUUUUGUAUGACGGUCGUAGAACUUUGACGAUCCUUCCAGAAUAGCACUCGAGCCACUUGUUAUAUACCACCGACGCCAGGUAGGUCUUACAUUGGACUAGAAGGAACAACCAACCUACUCUAGCGUUCUCUGUGAAUACAGCAUACUAUACCUAUCAGUCUUUGACUUGCAAUAGACGUGAGAACUGCUAAUGGUGUACAGUUGCGAGGCUGGAAUGUAAGGGACGAAACGCCUUACCGGCGGCAGUCUACGAGUGACUUAGGCUCUCGUCGAAGUGUAAACGAUUCAACCGUACCGAGGAAGUACCUUUGGACAACAACCCAUACCAGGUCUAGAAGAUCGAAACCAGUCACCGAACCUGUUCAGGAUACAGACAAGAUUAAACCGAAAGAAUAGUCAACUGCAGGUAAACUUACACAAAAACACCGAAACCUUGUUACAACCGAGCCGUCACUCUUGAACAUUCGCUGGGAAGUUACCCAAUAAAGAUCAUUAUACUUACUUGAUUCGGUGAAUUAGAGGAACGAGAUGCAUAAUUAACAACAUCAGUGAACAAACAAGGACCACGCCCCAUUUUUGUUACCCCGUAGUGUAUACAAGCUUUAAUA